GACGAACGCUGGCGGUGUGCUUAACACAUGCAAGUCGAACGGUAAGGCCCUUUCGGGGGUACACGAGUGGCGAACGGGUGAGUAACACGUGAGUAACCUGCCCUCAUCUCUGGGAUAACAGUCGGAAACGGUUGCUAAUACUGGAUAUGAGCUUGCAAGGCAUCUUGUGGGUUGGAAAGAUUUUUUUGGUUGGGGAUGGACUCGCGGCCUAUCAGCUUGUUGGUGAGGUAGUGGCUCACCAAGGCUUCGACGGGUAGCCGGCCUGAGAGGGCGACCGGCCACAUUGGGACUGAGAUACGGCCCAAACUCCUACGGGAGGCAGCAGUGGGGAAUAUUGCACAAUGGACGGAAGUCUGAUGCAGCAACGCCGCGUGCGGGAUGACGGCCUUCGGGUUGUAAACCGCUUUCAAUUGUGACGAAGCUAUUUGUGACGGUAGCAGUAGAAGAAGCACCGGCUAACUACGUG
This 466-nucleotide ribosomal RNA is filed under the name uncultured bacterium. RNAcentral's name for it is "partial 16S ribosomal RNA". It matches the Rfam family "Bacterial small subunit ribosomal RNA", at positions 28 to 507 of the family's 1533-position model. The record is from RNAcentral.